UACGGGGGGGGUAAGCGUUGUUCGGAAUUACUGGGCGUAAAGGGCUCGUAGGCGGCCAACUAAGUCAUACGUGAAAUCCCUCAGCUUAACUGGGGAACUGCGUGUGAUACUGGAUGGCUUGGAUUUGGGAGAGGGAUGCGGAAUUCCACGUGUAGCAGUGAAAUGCGUAGAGAUGUGGAGGAACACCGAUGGCGAAGGCAGCCCCCUGGGCUAACACUGACGCUCAUGCACGAAAGCGUGGGGAGCAAACAGG
This 253-nucleotide ribosomal RNA is filed under the name uncultured bacterium. Its description in RNAcentral is "partial 16S ribosomal RNA". It matches the Rfam family "Bacterial small subunit ribosomal RNA", at positions 524 to 776 of the family's 1533-position model. The record is from RNAcentral.